AGCAUUUAAUGCUUACAAAACUCGAAGCGGCUCAUCAGUUACCGGAGAAUUUAAUGCUUUCCUGAUAUUCAAUGAGCACCAACCAGAUACAGAGAACGGGUAGAAAAGGGGAUCGGAAAGGCAAGGAGAGGUCGGAGGUAGAAAAGGUUGGUAUAAGAGAUCGAGCGAGAAGGUUUCAGGUUGCCAAUCAUAAUGAGAGAUCAGAUAGGGUAACAAGAUUAAGAGAUCGGAUAAAUUGAGAAAAUAGCCAAUAAAGAUCGGAAGGUUGGGAAAAUCAGAAGUUCAUGAGUUACUUCUAACCAUGACCCUUGAUUCGCGAUAUCAAUUCCUCCAUCGUCACAUCUAGGUUAGUUAAAGCAUUUGGGAUACGAUUCAAUCUCCACCAUCAACCCCGUCUUGUAAGGAUAAAUCCGAACUAUUGGAUCUAACGCAGUUAAAGCAUUCUGGUAUGCCA
RNAcentral lists this unclassified non-coding RNA (454 nucleotides) under Hevea brasiliensis (rubber tree). Lineage: Eukaryota; Viridiplantae; Streptophyta; Magnoliopsida; Malpighiales; Euphorbiaceae. The record is from RNAcentral.